UUAACUCAGAUUUGUAUGGAGUUGGAACAGCGCCCCUAGCGGCAAACGUAGGCAAACAUUCAAACUCCAUACAAAUUUGAGUUA
Molecule: microRNA precursor, 84 nt
Filed under: Bombyx mori (domestic silkworm)
Lineage: Eukaryota; Metazoa; Arthropoda; Insecta; Lepidoptera; Bombycidae
Description: mir-2807 microRNA precursor family
Rfam family: mir-2807 microRNA precursor family
Source: Rfam by way of RNAcentral